Felis catus (domestic cat) is the source of this 73-nucleotide transfer RNA. It matches the Rfam family "tRNA". From Rfam's summary of the family: Transfer RNA (tRNA) molecules are approximately 80 nucleotides in length. Their secondary structure includes four short double-helical elements and three loops (D, anti-codon, and T loops). Lineage: Eukaryota; Metazoa; Chordata; Mammalia; Carnivora; Felidae. The record is from Rfam.
ACCUGGCUGGCUCAGUUGGUGGAGCGUGAGGCUCUUGAUCUUGGGGUUGUGGGUUCAAGCUCCACGUUGGGUA